Leptonychotes weddellii (Weddell seal) is the source of this 523-nucleotide long non-coding RNA. RefSeq lists it as uncharacterized. The record is from RefSeq and is a predicted model, not a curated record. NCBI's taxonomy places the organism in Eukaryota, Metazoa, Chordata, Mammalia, Carnivora, Phocidae.
GGCACCGCGCAUCCCAUCCCAAGGCGAGGCUGCUCGCGGCCGCGGCAAACUCUAGGACCCACUUCACAGAUGAAGAAACUGGGGUCACCCCAUUACAAGUGGCAGGCGCCACAGCCCGAGCGGCCCCGGCGGGAAAGGCGGGGCUGGGCUCUCGUCCGCUGUGCCAGUGGGGACACCCCGUUCCCCAAGAGUCCACGGCCUCAUCUGGAAAACAGCCACAGUGACCCCUCCUCAGGGGAGGGGUUGGCACCGUGGCCAGGAGAACGUGACCCACCGCUGGCCGCUCCCUAGCUCCGAUGGCACCCCGGGGUUCGUGCCAGGAGCUCCUUCGGCACCAGCGGCAGGAAAGAACCCCCAUUUCUCCAUUCUGCAGACGCGCAAACAGAGGCCCUUCCUCCUCCAUCACAGCCCCACCCCCAGUGUCUUGGCACAGGUCCAGGGACACCAGCUGGACCACCCCCCUCUUUCUUCUCUUUUCUUUUGUGCCCUGUGGGGCCCAAUUAAACCUAAUUUCGUGACUUCA